Molecule: long non-coding RNA, 2468 nt
Organism: Papaver somniferum (opium poppy)
Lineage: Eukaryota; Viridiplantae; Streptophyta; Magnoliopsida; Ranunculales; Papaveraceae
Exons: 6
Source: RefSeq, a predicted model, not a curated record
UUCUCUUCUCUCUCGUUCUCCCCUGUGAGUUUUCCCUGUUUCUACUACCACCACCAUCGUUAUCAUCAAGAUCAAAACCAAACCCUAGAUUCAGAUUUUUUUUUCUUCUCCUUUUGAUUUUUUCCACUCAAAAUCUUUGACCCGAUUUCUGAUCUUAGAUCAAAUUCAUGCUCACCAUGUUAUUAUGUGGAUUAAUCUGGUUAUAAAUCAUUUACAAAUUACAAUUUUUUGACCUAAAGGGGGAAAUCAGAGUUAAUGAGUUAAUCUGAUUGCAAGUGCGUUUUUCUGUUCUAUGAGUGUUUUUUGGCACGAGAUUUCCCCCAAAAUCCUCAAAUUUAAGUAAUUUGGGUUUUUCGUUUCUUCAAAUGUCAGAUGUAGAUUAUUAAACCAAAUCAAUAGAUGGGUUUGUUUUAGUUGAGGUUUAGAAUUUGUUCAUUAACGGAUUCGAGUUUCAUGGAUUAGGGUUUCUAACAGAUUGGGGAUUUAGGCUCCAUGGAUUUGAAUUACAGAUGAAAAAGAUAAAACUGAUGGUGAGAAACUAAAAGAAGAAGUUUGAGUUUGUGUUCUGAGAUUCGUGAAGCCAUCCAAAUUCUCGUGCUUUGGAUGUAUACGAGGAGGCCGAGAAGUUGCUGAAAGAAGAACCACAUGUGGAGUUCAGUGGCGAGGUUCCUUCCCCAACUUCUUUUAUUGCAGGAAUUUGUGUACAAGAAGGUCAUGGACGGUAUCUGGACUUGCAUGAGUUGUACUAUGAGUACAUUAAUUCUAAGUUUGCAGACCAAUAAAGUAUUCUACUUAUCUGGAUGUGUUCUCCCAAUCACAUAAAAUUUCAUGUAAACUAAAGCUAAGCAGGUAACUUUGCUGGAGUACGGUACAGUGCAUGAGUUGAUGGACGUGGGUAAGGACAUAUUAAAAGAGGUAUGUCUCUUCUGCCAACGAUUGAUUGCUUAAAGUUCUCUUGAGUGCGCAUCUGUGAAUUAGUAGUACAGAUAAUUAAUUUGUCAUUUCUAUAGUUCAUGUACGCCAGACGAUACUAGUUUACAUUUUCUUAAUAGAUUAUCUCGAAAUCUUUUUUUUUUGGAUGACCUGUUUUGCUGAAAGGAGGGCUCUUAAGUUUUGUCAAUAUUAUUCUGUUAGUGGGGGCACUAACCUUAAGUUUAAAUUGGGGAAGUCUGGUUGAUUGAAAGGUUUGUUUUCUGUAACAGAGUCCAUCGAGCAAACAUGCACAUUAUGUGGUUGCUGGUGAACCCAUAAGAUUGCUAGUCAGUCGCUAUAAAUUUCAGCUUAUAAUAUAUCUGAAUCACUUUUUUGUUGUCGAUACCCUAGCUAGUGCAGGGGAAGAUCGGAUAAUGCAAGUGAUGGCAUCAUAUACUUUGUAUUGGCUUUUCAGUUUUUCCUUAGGUAACUCUUCUUUCAAAUAUGAGUGAGUCAUUCCUUUCUUAACCAGUUUUAGAACUUUAUAUGAUAUAUGAAUAAAAUUAGAUGUUGAGCACCCUUCAUAUCUAGGUAAGCAUGUACACUCUUCAGCAGGGGGCGCUGCUUUUGCUGAUAACAGCAGUUUGUUUUGUCCCUUUGAAACUAUUGCAAAGAAAGCGGGCAGUAACAGGAUUUGUUCAUGUUUCAGUCCACAUGGAUGCAACACUCAUUUUGCCGCUGUCUAGUUGUAUUUCCACAGGAGUUCCUUUGUAUAGUGUCAGGUUAAUAUGUUAACAUAUAUUGGUGUAGAAUCUGAGUAGCACUACUGAGGACUGAACCUUUUGAGUUGUCCCUUAGUACUGGUAUUUUUUGUGGAUACUGUGAAAUUGUUUCCCUCUACUAAUAUGGCGCUCAUAUCUAUUUUUCAAUCACACCGACCUGCUGGAAGAGAAAUCUGAAUUGAGAAUGUAGUUCUGAAGUAUGGAGGCAAAGCUCUUGACCAUAGAAAACGACAAUCUUGUUCUUAGACAAAAGCAGUAACCACCCCACCUAAGAGCAAUCACCCCUUGAUAUGCUGCUGCAAAAUAAAGCCUAAUCAUAGACUUAUGAUUUUUAUUUUUAGAUGAGUCGAAGAACUUUCUGGCCCGCAUAGCUCGACAUGAAAAUUCUUUAGACUAAAAUUUUUGACAAUCCUGGAGCUUAGGUUUGGGCUUCUUACCGUGGACAUCGCUAGGACUGGGUGAAUCACGUAACUGAGUUUUAUCAGCUCAAUGUUUUGCAGGGUGCAAGAGAAAUUUGUGCACCCAAAGAAAGCCAAGGAUAAACUUUAAAAAUGAGUAGUCUCGCAUGCUUGAUGUCGGAGACUAGGCAGGAAGUUUAACGAAUCAUUUUGGCAAAGUUAAAGGUUCUUCUGUAUGUUCGUCAUCAUUUUAUUUUAUCUGAAAUACAAAGAACUUGUCAAUCUUUUGAUACUACACACAUAAUUUAAAUGUCAAUAGGACUUGAGAAAUGUUUCUAGCUAUACUUUGUGAUGUGUUUCUUAGUUUUUGUGUAUA